CUUCGGUUCAGUUCUUUAUGCCCUGAAACAUGCGGACAAAAUAUCAAGAGGAGAUACCAUUUACUUCAGCCCUAAGGUCACAUAUCAGUAUCUAGACCAGUGGGCAUCAUUCAGGGACAAUCAGCCAGGGUGGAUCCAGAAUGGCGAGGACGGGCCCAUGCUGGAAGAGGCAGUGUCCAGGGUUCGAGCCAGGAGGAAACUGGCCAACACAUUGAUGAACAGGCUGAAGAUAGACAGGGCUCAGUUAAUAGCUGACAAGCGUGGUGUCAGCAUCUGGUCUGACCAUGAGUUUGAGGACGGGAACAUCAGGUUUUGUACGGAGAGCGCAAAUGAGUAUGUGGUAAAUCUGAC
Scomber japonicus (chub mackerel) is the source of this 351-nucleotide long non-coding RNA. RefSeq lists it as uncharacterized. The transcript is spliced from 4 exons. The record is from RefSeq and is a predicted model, not a curated record. Lineage: Eukaryota; Metazoa; Chordata; Actinopteri; Scombriformes; Scombridae.